This 20-nucleotide unclassified non-coding RNA is filed under the name Chlamydomonas reinhardtii. Its description in RNAcentral is "small RNA Cre_0423". Lineage: Eukaryota; Viridiplantae; Chlorophyta; Chlorophyceae; Chlamydomonadales; Chlamydomonadaceae. The record is from RNAcentral.
AGACGGCGGAGGAGCAGUUG